UUAGAAAGAAAAAUAAUUAUGAGUUUGAUGGCACAAAAAUCGUCUCUAGUGUUGUAGUUUCUCAAGUUCGAAUACUAAUUGGAAGCCAAAAUAAAUUAAAAAAAAAAAAAUCAGGAGUCGCAUACCUCAAGAAUUUGAAUUGCCGGCAAGCUCAAGCUGAAGAGAACAACACUACGCAUUUCUCUCCAUCUUUCAUUCAUGUUUAUCAACACAUCCUUAGGCUAAACAUUUGAAGCAAAAAAUCAGAACAAUGUUUGUUACCUUAGAUUAGAGACAAUAACAUAAACAGUACAUACACGAGUGGCAGUUGCCAAAUGCAAAUGUGGAUAACUCUUAUCGUCGCCCCUUUGACUUUGAAUCAAAAUGAUGCUUCUUCAACUUCUUCUUGCGUGGCAGAACAGUAGUACCACUACUUUCUCUGAACGGCGUACCCAUGAGAGCCAACAGCCUCUGGCCUUCUUGAUCAGUUUUAGCGUUGGUUACUAUACAAACAUCCAUUCCCCUUGGCUUACCAAGUGCAUCAUACUGAAUUUCAGGGAACACACUCUGCUCACGAAUUCCAAUGCUGUAAUUCCCAUGUCCAUCAAAGCUGUUUGGGUUUACACCUUGGAAGUCCCUUGUCCUAGGAAGCCCUAGAUUAAUAAGUCGAUCUAAGAAAGAGUACAUCACAUUUCCUCUGAGUGUGACAGCAAUGCCCAACGGUUGACCUUCCCUGAUCUUGAAGGUAGCAAUAGAGUUCCUUGCUCUUGUCUUGAUAGGUCUUUGGCCUGUAAUGAGAGCCAAAUCAUUCAUUGCAGCUUCCAAACCCUUGGCAUUCUGAGCAGCAUCUCCAAUGCCACAGUUCACCACAACCUUCUCAAUUUUCGGAACCUGGAGAAUGUUAGUGUACGAGAACUCUUCCAUGAGCAAGGGAACGAUCUUUUCAAGGUAAGUGGUCUUUAGGCGAUUGGCCUUUUCAGCUUCUGAUUUCUCCACCAACACAACACCGCCAGUGGCCCUCACAGACACCACCCAAUUGCCAUUUUUAGGGUUUCCGUAAGGUACUCUAGCGGACAACGGAGGUGAAAGAAUUGGGAAUUGACCACGAAGCGACGCAGCUGCGGACUGUAAAAGCGAAGGGGACGCCAUUGGAUCCGUGUUUGUUGUCUGUG
Molecule: unclassified non-coding RNA, 1151 nt
Filed under: Hevea brasiliensis (rubber tree)
Lineage: Eukaryota; Viridiplantae; Streptophyta; Magnoliopsida; Malpighiales; Euphorbiaceae
Source: RNAcentral